This 404-nucleotide ribosomal RNA is filed under the name Actinomycetes bacterium. RNAcentral describes it as "Actinobacteria bacterium partial 16S ribosomal RNA". It matches the Rfam family "Bacterial small subunit ribosomal RNA", at positions 355 to 776 of the family's 1533-position model. Lineage: Bacteria; Bacillati; Actinomycetota; Actinomycetes. The record is from RNAcentral.
UGGGGAAUAUUGGACAAUGGGCGCAAGCCUGAUCCAGCCAUGCCGCGUGAGUGAUGAAGGCCCUAGGGUUGUAAAGCUCUCUCACCGGUGAAGAUAAUGACGGUAACCGGAGCAGAAGCCCCGGCUAACUUCGUGCCAGCAGCCGCGGUAAUACGAAGGGGGCUAGCGUUGUUCGGAUUUACUGGGCGUAAAGCGCACGUAGGCGGACUUUUAAGUCAGGGGUGAAAUCCCGGGGCUCAACCCCGGAACUGCCUUUGAUACUGGAAGUCUUGAGUAUGGUAGAGGUGAGUGGAAUUCCGAGUGUAGGGGUGAAAAUCGUAGAUAUUCGGAGGAACACCAGUGGCGAAGACGGCUCACUGGACCAUUACUGACGCUGAGGUGCGAAAGCGUGGGGAGCAAACAGG